GACGAACGCUGGCGGCGUGCCUAAUACAUGCAAGUCGAACGCUUCUUUCCUCCCGAGUGCUUGCACUCAAUUGGAAAGAGGAGUGGCGGACGGGUGAGUAACACGUGGGUAACCUACCCAUCAGAGGGGGAUAACACUUGGAAACAGGUGCUAAUACCGCAUAACAGUUUAUGCCGCAUGGCAUAAGAGUGAAAGGCGCUUUCGGGGUCGCUGAUGGAUGGACCCGCGGUGCAUUAGCUAGUUGGUGAGGUAACGGCUCACCAAGGCCACGAUGCAUAGCCGACCUGAGAGGGUGAUCGGCCACACUGGGACUGAGACACGGCCCAGACUCCUACGGGAGGCAGCAGUAGGGAAUCUUCGGCAAUGGACGAAAGUCUGACCGAGCAACGCCGCGUGAGUGAAGAAGGUUUUCGGAUCGUAAAACUCUGUUGUUAGAGAAGAACAAGGACGUUAGUAACUGAACGUCCCCUGACGGCAUCUAACCAGAAAGCCACGGCUAACUACGUG
RNAcentral lists this ribosomal RNA (507 nucleotides) under uncultured bacterium. RNAcentral's name for it is "partial 16S ribosomal RNA". It matches the Rfam family "Bacterial small subunit ribosomal RNA", at positions 28 to 507 of the family's 1533-position model. The record is from RNAcentral.